UGGGGAAUAUUGCACAAUGGGGGAAACCCUGAUGCAGCGACGCCGCGUGAGCGAUGAAGCCCUUCGGGGUGUAAAGCUCUUUCGUCGGGGACGAUUAUGACGGUACCCGGAGAAGCAGCUGCGGCUAACUACGUGCCAGCAGCCGCGGUAAUACGUAGGCAGCAAGCGUUGUUCGGAAUUACUGGGCGUAAAGGGUGCGUAGGCGGCUUUUUAAGUUUGUUGUGAAAUCUCCCGGCUCAACUGGGAGGGUGCGGCGAAUACUGAGAAGCUAGAGUGUGGGAGAGGAAAGUGGAAUUCCUGGUGUAGCGGUGAAAUGCGUAGAUAUCAGGAGGAACACCGGUGGUGUAAACGGCUUUCUGGACCAUAACUGACGCUGAGGCACGAAAGCGUGGGUAGCAAACAG
RNAcentral lists this ribosomal RNA (403 nucleotides) under uncultured bacterium. RNAcentral's name for it is "bacterial SSU rRNA". It matches the Rfam family "Bacterial small subunit ribosomal RNA", at positions 355 to 775 of the family's 1533-position model. The record is from RNAcentral.